Molecule: non-coding RNA, 948 nt
Filed under: Nansenia crassa
Lineage: Eukaryota; Metazoa; Chordata; Actinopteri; Argentiniformes; Microstomatidae
Description: 12S ribosomal RNA
Rfam family: Bacterial small subunit ribosomal RNA
Source: RNAcentral
CAAAGGCUUGGUCCUGACUUUACCAUCAGCUUUUACCAAAUCUACACAUGCAAGUCUCCGCCCCCCUGUGAGGAUGCCCUUAAUCCCCUGCCCGGGGACGAGGAGCUGGCAUCAGGCACGCCACGGCAGCCCAAGACGCCUUGCUAAGCCACACCCCUAAGGGAACUCAGCAGUGAUAAACAUUAAGCCAUAAGCGAAAGCUUGACUUAGUUAAGGUAAGCAGGGCCGGUAAAACUCGUGCCAGCCACCGCGGUUAUACGAGAGGCCCAAGUUGAUGAUUACCGGCGUAAAGAGUGGUUACGGAACUUUUAAACUAAAGCCGAACACCCUUUAGGCUGUCAUACGCACCUGAGGGCACGAAGCCCCCUCACGAAAGUGGCUUUACCCCCCCCCCCGAACCCACGACAGCUAUGUCACAAACUGGGAUUAGAUACCCCACUAUGCUUAGCUAUAAACCUUGAUAGAAAAAUACAACUAAUAUCCGCCAGGGGACUACAAGCGCCAGCUUAAAACCCAAAGGACUUGGCGGUGCCCCAGACCCACCUAGAGGAGCCUGUUCUAGAACCGAUACCCCCCGUUCAACCUCACCACCUCUUGUUAACCCCGCCUAUAUACCGCCGUCGUCAGCUUACCCUGUGAAGGUCUCAUAGUAAGCAAAAAGGGUAAAACCCUAAACGUCAGGUCGAGGUGUAGCGUAUGGGGUGGGAAGAAAUGGGCUACAUUCUCUAAUUUAGAGUACACGGACAACACUGUGAAACCAGUGUCUUAAGGUGGAUUUAGCAGUAAACAGAAAAUAGAGAGUUCUCUUGAAACUGGCUCUGAGGCGCGCACACACCGCCCGUCACUCUCCCCAAGUCCGCUUUCCCAAAAUUAACUAAGAAAACAACUGGACUAAGGGGAGGCAAGUCGUAACAUGGUAAGUGUACCGGAAGGUGCACUUGGAACAAC